Bombus pascuorum is the source of this 912-nucleotide long non-coding RNA. RefSeq lists it as uncharacterized. Lineage: Eukaryota; Metazoa; Arthropoda; Insecta; Hymenoptera; Apidae. The record is from RefSeq and is a predicted model, not a curated record. The transcript has 2 exons.
UGAAAUGAACACUUACACGAAGUACGCAAUUACCAGUGUUAACUUCCGACACAAUUCUAAUUCCGUAAAGUGUUUAACGUUUCCUAUUAAGCUUCCUAUUACGUUUGCUAUUAAAGAAACGCACAACUUUGAUUCCAAAGGCUUUCGUAAUUUCUAUAGUGUUACCUAGAAUGUAAUUGAAAGCGCAUUAAUUCUCGUACAUUAUUCAAUAUUACCUCACGACGACUUUUAGCAGAGAAAUAUCUCUCUCAUUAUGUCGCUGCUAGGCGGAUGUGUCAAAGAAGCUUUUAUGCUCGUCUGCAAUCAUCGUAACGAAAAUGGCUCGACAAUACGUUUAGCUAACGAACUGAAACCGCUUUUACAAAACGAUUACGUAAUGACUUAAACGUGUCAUUAUAUCAUAAUAGUAUCGUAGUAUAAUAGCUGGAGAGGAACGAUACCAGAUCUUAUAAUAGAUCUUUGUGUCCAUUGAUCGAUUUGUUUGUAACUAUUGAACGUGGAAAGGGGGAAAGACAAAUACGUCAAAUAGAUUACAAUUAAUAAUUAAAAAGACAGUUAAACGAUCGUACACUCUGUUGUUCUUGAUGAAUAAUUAAUACAAUGGACUAUGUCAAAACUAAUCGAAUCAACCGGUGAUCGUUCAAUGUUCGUCGUCAGUAAUCGUUCAACUAAUUGGUAGUUGAAACUAAUUGGUAGAUGAAACUAAUUGGUUUUAGCAUACGUAAAAAUAUAGAUAUAUGUAUACAUUGUACAUGUACAUAGACAAGUAGAAAUAAUCUGCUCUAAAUCUACAAAUCCAGAACAAAAUUACUAGCCAAUACACGGAUUUAAAUGGCGACAUUUUAAUGCAAAAUAGAAAAUGCGAGUAAAAGUGUAUGCCGAUAUAAUAAAAUGGUAUCAUUGGAAUAAAAA